AUAUCUUAAAGUAAAAUUACUUUCUUAAUAUCUUCAAUAUCAUGCUUUAAAAUAAGCUAUUAAAAUA
Molecule: transfer RNA, 67 nt
Filed under: Wakarumbia aurea
Lineage: Eukaryota; Metazoa; Arthropoda; Insecta; Coleoptera; Lycidae
Description: tRNA-Phe
Source: RNAcentral